Molecule: ribosomal RNA, 506 nt
Filed under: uncultured bacterium
Lineage: Bacteria
Description: partial 16S ribosomal RNA
Rfam family: Bacterial small subunit ribosomal RNA
Source: RNAcentral
AUUGAACGCUGGCGGCAGGCUUAACACAUGCAAGUCGAGCGGUAACAGAGAGAAGCUUGCUUCUCUGCUGACGAGCGGCGGACGGGUGAGUAAUGCCUAGGAAUCUGCCUAGUAGUGGGGGAUAACUUGCCGAAAGGUAAGCUAAUACCGCAUACGUCCUACGGGAGAAAGGAGGGGACCUUCGGGCCUUUCGCUAUUAGAUGAGCCUAGGUCGGAUUAGUUAGUUGGUGAGGUAAUGGCUCACCAAGACCGCGAUCCGUAACUGGUCUGAGAGGAUGAUCAGUCACACGGGAACUGAGACACGGUCCAGACUCCUACGGGAGUCAGCAGUGGGGAAUAUUGGACAAUGGGGGGAACCCUGAUCCAGCCAUGCCGCGUGUGUGAAGAAGGUCUUAGGAUUGUAAAGCACUUUAAGUUGGGAGGAAGAGCAGUUAACUAAUAUUUGACUGUUUUGACGUUACCGACAGAAUAAGCACCGGCUAACUUCGUGUCAGCAGCCGCCGUAA